Molecule: ribosomal RNA, 518 nt
Filed under: Diaporthe rudis
Lineage: Eukaryota; Fungi; Ascomycota; Sordariomycetes; Diaporthales; Diaporthaceae
Description: eukaryotic LSU rRNA
Rfam family: Eukaryotic large subunit ribosomal RNA
Source: RNAcentral
GCACAGCUCAAAUUUGAAAUCUGGCCUCGGCCCGAGUUGUAAUUUGCAGAGGAUGUUUCUGGCGCGGUGCCUUCCGAGUUCCCUGGAACGGGACGCCAAAGAGGGUGAGAGCCCCGUAUGGUCGGACACCAAGCCUGUGUGAAACUCCUUCGACGAGUCGAGUAGUUUGGGAAUGCUGCUCUAAAUGGGAGGUAAAUCUCUUCUAAAGCUAAAUACCGGCCAGAGACCGAUAGCGCACAAGUAGAGUGAUCGAAAGAUGAAAAGCACCUUGAAAAGGGGGUUAAAUAGUACGUGAAAUUGUUGAAAGGGAAGCACUUAUGACCAGACUUGGGCCGGGCGGCUCAUCAGGGGUUCUCCCCUGUGCACUCCGCCCGGCACAGGCCAGCAUCGGUUCUCGUGGGGGGAUAAGACCGUCAGGAACGUAGCACCCUCCGGGGUGUGUUAUAGCCUGGCGGACGAUACCCUCGUGGGGACCGAGGUUCGCGCUCCGCAAGGAUGCUGGCGUAAUGGUCAUCAGU